Molecule: non-coding RNA, 128 nt
Organism: Boletus reticuloceps
Lineage: Eukaryota; Fungi; Basidiomycota; Agaricomycetes; Boletales; Boletaceae
Source: the annotation of a GenBank genome assembly
GGCCGACUAGCUCAGUUGGUUAGAGCGUCGUGCUAAUACUUAAUUUCGAGAUCGUUGCGCGUCCUGAUGCACGACUAUCUCGGAGCUGAGGUACGCGAAGGUCUUGGGUUCGAUCCCCACGUUGGCCA